CUGGACAAGCGCUCUAAAUCAAGCCAGUGGCAUGAGAUCACCCUGGCUCUAGCAUUUUGGAAGAAGAUGACCAUUUUGGAAGAAGCAGCCCAAUGAGAAAAUAGGAGACUUCUUCGAGUCUGGUGUUUGUGCGUCCAUGCAAAGACGCUACGUUGCUUUAGGACGCCAAACAGAGAAGUCACGCGGCAUGAGAAGGCUAAAAAUAAGCAGUUUUCUAAUUUCCCACGAAACCACCCUUGUUUAAGCCUAAGAUGUAAGAUGCAGUAUUCUCUCUUAGGGAACCAUUAAGGAUAAAGAAUCAACGUGAACUGAGUCUCAUAACGUGUUUUAUUUCAUUUAGUCCCUUGGCAUUUUGAGGUGGGUGUCAGGGUCCUCCCUUCACUGACAGGGAAACAACUCUAAGAGGAUCACCACGGCCAAGCUGCCACUCAAGCCAACACCUGCUCGACUUCAAGAGCCAGGCUUUUUUCUACUACCCGUCGUGUUUUGUUUUCUCCCCUCCCGUUUCGUUUGCAUUAGGUGUAGGGACUACAGCUACCCUGUCACCCACGGUCGCUGCGAAAUGUCGCUUACGGUCAGGCCCCCAGAACGGUCACGCGCCCUCCCCUCCUGAGGUGUCUCCGAAACUCGAGCUCCACCGACGAGAAGCGCAGGCCUGAGGCACCGACGCCAGCGCCAGCGCCAGCGCCAGCCCCAGCGUGGCCUCAGGAGCCCGGAAGGCGCCCCCGGGGCGCGUUUACAACACUGUCGUAAAGCGGCGGCUGCCGACAGCCGGCCUCGAGGCGCCGUCGAGGAGCUCGGCGGAGAAAGGAGAUGGAGGAAGGCUGAGGGCCGGGUGACGCCGAAUGGAGACGAGGCGCGGGGUGAAUGGUUGGAGAAGGGAGAGUGAAUGCGGAUUAUCAGGAGAACACAAGUUGUUCCAGCCCAUUGUGUUGUGCUAAGAUAUUGGAUUAUCUUAACUGUUCGCCAUUAGAAAUAUGUAGAUCCCCGGGGCUACUUUGUAAUCAGUGCUUCAUAACACACGCCCGAGCUCCUGGGUUUUGCCGCACGCGGCGGCGAGGUGCAAGCAGCACGCUGUGGUAG
RNAcentral lists this long non-coding RNA (1083 nucleotides) under Vulpes vulpes (red fox). RNAcentral's name for it is "lncRNA (ENSVVUG00000000348.1)". Lineage: Eukaryota; Metazoa; Chordata; Mammalia; Carnivora; Canidae. The record is from RNAcentral.